RNAcentral lists this ribosomal RNA (510 nucleotides) under uncultured bacterium. RNAcentral describes it as "partial 16S ribosomal RNA". It matches the Rfam family "Bacterial small subunit ribosomal RNA", at positions 28 to 507 of the family's 1533-position model. The record is from RNAcentral.
GACGAACGCUGGCGGCGUGCUUAACACAUGCAAGUCGAACGAAGAGCGAUGGAAGCUUGCUUCUAUCAAUCUUAGUGGCGAACGGGUGAGUAACGCGUAAUCAACCUGCCCUUCAGAGGGGGACAACAGUUGGAAACGACUGCUAAUACCGCAUACGAUCUAAACUCGGCAUCGAGGAUAGAUGAAAGGUGGCCUCUACAUGUAAGCUAUCACUGAAGGAGGGGAUUGCGUCUGAUUAGCUAGUUGGAGGGGUAACGGCCCACCAAGGCGAUGAUCAGUAGCCGGUCUGGGGGGAGUAACGGCCACAUUGGGACUGGGACACGGCCCAGACUCCUACGGGAGGCAGCAGUGGGGAAUCUUCCGCAAUGGAAGAAAGUCUGACGGGGCAACGCCGCGUGAGGGAUGACGGCCUUCGGGUUGUAAAGCUCUGUUAAUCGGGACGAAAGGCCUUCUUACGAAUAGUGGGAAGGAUUGACGGUACCGGAAUAGAAAGCCACGGCUAACUACGUG